UGGGGAAUAUUGGACAAUGGGCGCAAGCCUGAUCCAGCCAUGCCGCGUGUGUGAAGAAGGCCUUCGGGUUGUAAAGCACUUUUGUCCGGAAAGAAAUCCUGUCGGUUAAUACCCGGCGGGGAUGACGGUACCGGAAGAAUAAGCACCGGCUAACUUCGUGCCAGCAGCCGCGGUAAUACGAAGGGUGCAAGCGUUACUCGGAAUUACUGGGCGUAAAGCGUGCGUAGGUGGUCUGUUAAGUCUGAUGUGAAAGCCCUGGGCUCAACCUGGGAACUGCAUUGGAUACUGGCAGUCUGGAGUGCGGUAGAGGGUAGCGGAAUUCCCGGUGUAGCAGUGAAAUGCGUAGAUAUCGGGAGGAACAUCCGUGGCGAAGGCGGCUACCUGGACCAGCACUGACACUGAGGGCACGAAAAGCGUGGGGGAGCAAACAGGAUUGGUACCCUGGUAGUCCAGNGCCCCUAAACGAUGCGAACUGGAUGUUGGGANCAAUUAGGCUCUCAGUACCGAAGCUAACGCGUUAAG
RNAcentral lists this ribosomal RNA (522 nucleotides) under uncultured bacterium. Its description in RNAcentral is "partial 16S ribosomal RNA". It matches the Rfam family "Bacterial small subunit ribosomal RNA", at positions 355 to 864 of the family's 1533-position model. The record is from RNAcentral.